This is an RNA transcript of Lotus japonicus, 2502 nucleotides long. RefSeq lists it as uncharacterized. NCBI's taxonomy places the organism in Eukaryota, Viridiplantae, Streptophyta, Magnoliopsida, Fabales, Fabaceae. The transcript has 13 exons. The record is from RefSeq and is a predicted model, not a curated record.
CUGAACUUUGAAUCCCAUGUUAUAGACCUCGGAUUCAUCGACAUCAGAGACCGUAGGAUCACAUGUCCAAACUACAUGUACCCAAAAAAUAGACCCAAGUACCCAACCAUUGCUCAACACAUGUCAGAUACCCAGAUAGAGAGAGACACAUAGCUCUCCCUUUCAUGUGUUUUUUUUAGAGGCUCUCUCCUUUUGUUUGGUUUGGUUAUCACAAUCAUCCAAAUUCACGAACCACAGAGAAAACAGAGGAAGGAAAGGAGAGGGGGUUUUGGUUUGGCCAUGGAGAAUCAUCACAAGGAGGAAGAGGAGGAGGAGGAGGAGGAGGAAGAGGAGGUUGUGCAGGUUAAGGAGGAGGAUGAUAAGGUGGCUGGUGAAGAGGAGGAGGUGGUGGAUGGAGACGAAAUAGGUUCAAGCUUGACCAUGGAGAGGGUGGCUGCAGCUAAGAAAUUCAUUGAGAGCCAUUACAAGUCUCAGAUGAAGCACAUCCAAGAACGCAAGGAGAGGCGUUCUGUGCUACAAAAGAAGUUAGAGUCUUCCCAUGUACCGGAAGAUGAACAGAUGGAUCUACUGAAAGAUUUAGAGCGCAAGGAGACCGAGUAUAUAAGGUUAAAAAGACAUAAAAUAUGUGUUGAGGAUUUUGACCUUCUAUCCAUCAUAGGCAGGGGAGCCUUUGGAGAGGUAAGACUCUGUCGAGAGAAGAAAUCGGGUAACAUCUAUGCCAUGAAAAAAUUGAAAAAGUCUGAAAUGCUUAGUAGGGGACAGGUUGAGCAUGUCAGAGCUGAAAGGAAUGUACUUGCAGAAGUUGCCAAUGAUUGCAUCGUGAAACUGUAUUACUCCUUUCAGGAUGCAGACCACUUAUAUCUUAUAAUGGAAUAUUUACCUGGAGGUGACAUAAUGACUUUGUUGAUGAGGGAAGAAACUUUGACUGAAACUGUGGCUAGAUUUUACAUUGCCCAAAGCGUUUUAGCCAUAGAGUCUAUUCAUAAACACAACUACAUUCAUCGGGAUAUAAAACCAGACAACCUUCUAUUGGACAAAAACGGUCAUAUGAAACUGUCUGAUUUUGGUCUUUGCAAGCCACUUGACUGCUCGAAUCUUUCAUCUAUAAAUGAAAAUGAAAUAUUGGAUGAUGACAAAAACUUGAAUGAUACCAUGGAUGCUGAUGGAGCCUGCCAAAAUGGCCAAGGUGGUAGGCGCUGGAAAAGUCCCUUUGAACAACUUCAACAUUGGCAAAUAAACAGGAGGAAGUUGGCAUUUUCUACUGUUGGAACUCCAGACUACAUUGCUCCAGAAGUGUUACUGAAAAAGGGUUAUGGUGUGGAGUGCGACUGGUGGUCUCUUGGUGCAAUAAUGUAUGAGAUGCUUGUUGGUUAUCCCCCAUUUUACUCUGAUGAUCCUGUAACAACAUGCAGAAAGAUUGUGCACUGGAAGAAUCAUUUAAAAUUUCCAGAUGAGGCAAGAUUGACGCCUGAAGCAAAGGAUCUAAUAUGCAGGUUGCUUUGUGGCGUUCAACAUAGGCUUGGAACCGGAGGGGCAGAUGAAAUUAAAGCUCAUCCUUGGUUUAAAGAUAUCGCGUGGGACAGGCUCUAUGAAACCGAGGCAGCAUUCAAACCACAAGUCAAUGGGGAGCUUGACACUCAGAAUUUUAUGAAAUUUGAUGAGGUUGAACAACCAAAACCAAGCAGAUCUGGAUCUGGCCAACUGAGAAAGAAGCUCUUAACUCCUCAAGAUCUCAGUUUUGUUGGCUAUACAUAUAAGAAUUUUGCUGCUAUCAAGGGGAUGAAUCUUUCUACUGGUAGAUAAAGGGAGCUUGUCAACAACACAGAGGCCCUCAUCAGUUGAAUCCUCCUCUCACAGUGAUUCUGCAAUCAAUUAUUCCACCUGAUACUCAAUGCACAAUACAGAAAGCAUGGAUGAUGGUUGCACCACCCUAUGGGAAUGACUUUUUGCUUGUGAAGAGUGACCCGACUUUUGUUUCAUGUAUGUAUUAUACAUUCUGUGAUGAUGGUGGAUAAGCCUGCUAAAUUUUCAACUGGCCUUGCCUUACUUUCAGUGCCUACAGCCACCUAUAUUGCAGAAUUUACAGCAUGUUAGGAUCAGCUUAUUUUUCUUCAGAAUCAAUUUUGACAUCCAGAAGCUACUCACAGAAAAAUUCUCCCUAGAAUUGAUAAGCUUCUUCCUAGAAUUGAUUUUGGGUGUAGAAUUAAUUGUAGAAAGAUUUUCAAACAUGCACUUAGUGUACAGAGAUAUUUGUGUACCUUGAGGAUUGGUUCACUUGCAGCUCUGCUGGUAGUCAUAUAUGUGAAAGUUUUGAAGCCAAACAGGUAUUUCUAAACUUGUCACUCUGUCACCUUAGAAGAUAUGUGCCAUCACCUGUGGCAAAUUCUGACCCUUUUCCUGAAUGCAGUUCAGUUUGUUAUGAUUAUGAUAAUGUAAUGUUGACACAACACAAAAUCUGAGUGACUGAGUGGUAUCAAUGGCAACUUUGUUCUGAUUUAUGAA